This 1671-nucleotide long non-coding RNA is filed under the name Homo sapiens (human). Its description in RNAcentral is "non-protein coding lnc-RNF135-1:7". The record is from RNAcentral. Lineage: Eukaryota; Metazoa; Chordata; Mammalia; Primates; Hominidae.
UGGCGGCAGCCCCAGGUCCCGGGUCCCUCAGACAAAAAGGCGGGUGGAGGAGGAGUAGCCGAGCCCAGAGUCCUGCUCCGGCGCCGCCGAGCACCGCCCGCCUCAGCCGACCAGCCCCGUCGGCUACUGGGCCUAGCCUAGAGGAGAGGAGGGAAAGGCCGCGGAGGCCGCGAGGAGACGGCUGGGGCGCCAGCGGCCGGCUGCCGCCUAGUUGUGCUGCCCGGACCAAGGAAGGAGAAGUGGGAGGAGCGGGGAGCUCAGCGGCUCAGGACGACGACGCUCGCCACAUCCGGGACCCUCCGGCCGUGGCGGUCGCAGCGCCGGCAGCUCGGGCCUCAGCCCCUGCCUCUGUGGUGACUCCGCCGCGCUUCGACGUCGCCCCUGUCCCCGUCCCGCCCGCCGCCCCCGCCAACCCCGCCGCCGGGGACAUGUCCAACCCCUGAAGCCGGAGGAACGGGCCAGUCAGACUGCGCCCGACAGGUGAUGGGGAGCGGCGGCCGGGCUGGGCAGCCGCCGGGUGGGCGAGCUGGCGCGGGGUACCUGUUGACUUGGGAAGGGCCAGGAUCGCGAUCAAUGGAGGUGAAGUGAAAUCUGCAAGAGUCCUGCUCGUUCAAGGCCUGCAUACAGGAAAGAAGCAGGGGAAAAGCGUUAGAAACAGCUUUUGUUCUACAGCAUUUUAAAAUAUAAUAGGUGUAUAUUGAAAAGUCUGAUUCAGUUACAAUCAGUGUAUGGAAUCACAAGAAGAUCCAUAAGAAACAAGGUGCUGGAUUUCUCCGUUGUGUUCGUCUUUUUCCAGUGCCAUCAACCACCUCAAAGACACUGGUUAUCAGAGGUUGGAUUUAUGCAAACUUGGGCCAAAGGACAGUUAGAAGACAGUAGUAAGUCUUCAGUCCAGGGACCAAAUCGGCACAGGAGGACAAGUUGUGGACUGCAGUCAUUUAUUUGAUAAUGAUUUACCAGACAAGUCUGAAGAAGCAUCUGUAGGGAAUCCAGAAGGAGCAUUCAUGAAGAUGUUACAAGCCCGGAAGCAGCACAUGAGCACUGAGCUGACUAUUGAGUCGGAGGCGCCCUCAGACAGCAGUGGCAUCAACUUGUCAGGCUUUGGGAGUGAGCAGCUAGACACCAAUGACGAGAGUGAUGUUAGCAGCGCACUAAGUUACAUCUUGCCUUAUCUCUCACUGAGAAAUCUAGGUGAUCAGCUUGAAAUUCAGCUAACCGAGCAGCUACGGUCCCUCAUCCCCAACGAGGAUGUGAGAAAGUUCAUGUCUCAUGUUAUCUGGACCUUGAAAAUGGAAUGUUCAGAAACACAUGUGCAAGGGAGCUGUGCCAAGCUCAUGUCGCGAACAGGCCUCCUGAUGAAGCUUCUCAGCGAGCAGCAGGAAGCAAAGGCAUUGAAUGUAGAAUGGGAUACGGAUUAAUGAGAACAUGGAACAGAAUGAACAGAAAGAGCAGAAGUCAAGUGAGCUCAUGAAAGAAGUUCCAGGAUAUGACUAUAAGAACAAACUCAUCUUCGCAAUAUCUGUGACUGUCAUACUAAUAAUUUUGAUUAUAAUUUUUUGUUUUAUAGAGGUAAAGACAAUAAUUAAUUCAGGUUUUCAAAAUACAAUCCUGUGUUUGUGUGGAUUCAGAAUCCACAAACUGAAAACCAACGUCACUUUCCCACUUGACAUU